AGCGAACGCUGGCGGCAGGCCUAACACAUGCAAGUCGAACGAACCUUUCGGGGUUAGUGGCGGACGGGUGAGUAACACGUGGGAACGUGCCUUUAGGUUCGGAAUAACUCAGGGAAACUUGUGCUAAUACCGCAUGUGCCCUUCGGGGGAAAGAUUAAUCGCCUUUAGAUCGGCCCGCGUCUGAUUAGCUAGUUGGUUGAGGUAAUGGCUCACCACGGCGACGAGCAGUAGCUGGUCUGAGAGGAUGAUCAGCCACAUUGGGACUGAGACACGGCCCAAACUCCUACGGGAGGCAGCAGUGGGGAAUCUUGCGCAAUGGGCGAAAGCCUGACGCAGCCAUGCCGCGUGAAUGAUGAAGGUCUUAGGAUUGUAAAAUUCUUUCACCGGGGACGAUAAUGACGGUACCCGGAGAAGAAGCCCCGGCUAACUUCGUG
This 434-nucleotide ribosomal RNA is filed under the name uncultured bacterium. RNAcentral describes it as "partial 16S ribosomal RNA". It matches the Rfam family "Bacterial small subunit ribosomal RNA", at positions 29 to 507 of the family's 1533-position model. The record is from RNAcentral.